RNAcentral lists this unclassified non-coding RNA (1890 nucleotides) under uncultured fungus. RNAcentral describes it as "sequence contains 18S rRNA gene, ITS1, 5.8S rRNA gene, ITS2, 28S rRNA gene". The stretch from base 779 to 1890 matches the Rfam family "Eukaryotic large subunit ribosomal RNA", at positions 1 to 961 of the family's 3401-position model. Lineage: Eukaryota; Fungi. The record is from RNAcentral.
AGCAGGAUCAAUAACGGAAAAAACAGCCAAAGGGCUUUUGUGUUUUCUAUUGUGUCUCAACAACACAGUAAAAGACAUGUCAGCCCUUGUUUAAUCCCUUAUUCUGGAGUGACGCCCAUGAAAGACCGGCCGACAGUGCGAAGCCGGGAGUCAGCCCCUUUUUUUUGACUGACAGUAACAUGUCAAGUCAUUUUGGUUCUGGGGGGGGAGAGUGGUUUUUGGGGGCCCCAAAAACAAUUAAAAAAAGAACCCCGCUCUCCACACAAACGACCCCCCAGAUCCAACAACCAUUUUUUUACACCGCGUAACGGUGGAUCUCUUGGUUCGUGCCUCGAUGAAACCGCAUCCAAGCGCGAUAGUUAUGGUGAAUCGCAGAGAACCGCGAGCCAGAAAACUGUUGAAUGCACGCUGCGGCCCGGGGAACUUCCAUUCCCUGGGUCACACAUUUCCGAGUGUCGGUUUUUCAACUCCGACAUAAAGGUAGCACCUGAGUGGUGUUUUUGCCUACACCAUCUGGUGAAGCAAGCUGCGUACACUGUCCUUUUUGUUGCCUUCAAAAAGCAAACACAAGGGACAAUCCGUUUGACAGAUUGCGGCAAGUUGCCCCAUGCUCUUGCAACCACGACGAUCAGCUUCUGUUUCUCAACGUGUGAAAACCCAUUGAGACGGCUCCGUCCUGUGGUUCGUAGUUUUGGGGUGUGCCGGACUGCAAAUCCAAAAGAAUAGCGACAAAAAGCAGAAUGUCAUGUUUUGCUUUGCGUCCUUUUCUUUCUUUUUAAGACCUCGGGAAUGUGAGAUCACGCCCGGAACUUAAGCAUAUCAUUAAGGGCAGGACAAGAAAGCAACCGCGAUUCCAUUAGUAACUGCGAGUGAACAUGGAAACACGCAAGUGAGCCCAUCCACAAGACCUUGCGGCGGAGGGAAACCAAAGCCGCAGUACUGCAAGGUUUGGAUGUUUCGGCGAUCCUGAGGUUUUGCCCCAGCAAGUUGCCUGGAACGGCACGCCAUGGAGGGUGACAGCCCCGUUCGGCUGGGCAGCCAAGGGAAACAAAGCUGAAGCGUUCCGAGAGUCGGACUGUUUGAGACUGCAGUCUGAACCGGGAGAUAUGCCUCUCCCAAGGCUAAACAUUGGCACGAGACCGAUAGCGAACAAGUAGAAUGAUCGAAAGAUGCAAAGCACUCUGCAAAGAGAGUGAAAAGUACGUGAAACCGUUACGUUGCAACGUAACGACACCCAUCCGUUUGAAAGCCCCCGGCUGCCUUCGGGCGGUCAAGCGACGGGGGAUUUUGGGCAGCACCAAUCAGGACUGCCGCACGGCGGUGCGGAGCACGCCCGGCUGCAAACUUGUUUGCGGCUUGGCCUCCGCGCUGGUCUCUGGACGGUCCUGAUUCGAAACCUUUUCCGGGGCGAUGCACGGGCUUGCCACCGCGCUUGGGUGCGGUCGCAGCGCCGCUGGCUUUUUAACCAACUGCCAGUGACCUGAGGCUGUGCCACGGCGUGUCGAGCGGCCUGUCGCAGACGCUUCGGUAACGUAUGCUGCUUUGAAUGGUGUCGUUACACCCGUCUUGAAACACGGACCAAGGAGUCUACUGCAUGCGCGAGCGUUAUGGUGAUAGAAACCAUCGACGCACAAUGAAAGUGAACGGUGGGCUUGUUCCUACCUUUGUGUGGCGAAGCCGCAAGGCUGCAGCCACGGCCGCGCCCAGGGAGCAGGGACGCGAGUCAAAGUGCAUCCAGUGGGACCCGAAAGAAGGUGAACUUUUCCCGAACAGGGCGAAGCCGGGAGAAAUUCCGGUGGAGGCUCGUAGCAGUGCUGACGUACAAAUCGCUUGCCAAAUUCGGGUAAAGGGGCGAAAGACUCAUCGAACUUUCUAGUAGCUGGUUCCCUC